Molecule: transfer RNA, 74 nt
Filed under: Candidatus Woesearchaeota archaeon
Lineage: Archaea; Nanobdellati; Candidatus Woesearchaeota
Description: tRNA-Pro
Rfam family: tRNA
About the family: Transfer RNA (tRNA) molecules are approximately 80 nucleotides in length. Their secondary structure includes four short double-helical elements and three loops (D, anti-codon, and T loops).
Source: RNAcentral
GGGGCUGUAGUGUAACUUGGCUAUCACUGGCGCUUGGGGUGCGUCCAAUCGGGGUUCAAAUCCUCGCAGCCCCA